GACGAACCGUGCGAACGUUGUUCGGAAUCACUGGGCUUAAAGGGUGCGUGGGCGGGCUAUUAAGUCAGUGGUGAAAGCCUACAGCUUAACUGUAGAAUUGCCAUUGAUACUGAUAGUCUUGAGUAUGAUUGAGGUGGGCGGAAUGUGUCAUGUAGCGGUGAAAUGCUUAGAUAUGACACAGAACACCGAUUGCGAAGGCAGCUCACUAAGCCAUAACUGACGCUGAUGCACGAAAGCGUGGGGAGCAAACAGG
Molecule: ribosomal RNA, 253 nt
Filed under: uncultured bacterium
Lineage: Bacteria
Description: partial 16S ribosomal RNA
Rfam family: Bacterial small subunit ribosomal RNA
Source: RNAcentral